Molecule: unclassified non-coding RNA, 708 nt
Filed under: Hevea brasiliensis (rubber tree)
Lineage: Eukaryota; Viridiplantae; Streptophyta; Magnoliopsida; Malpighiales; Euphorbiaceae
Source: RNAcentral
UGCUGCAGGACCAUCUUGCUGGGUCAUAUUGUUAAGCAAUGAUCCAAUUAGCUCAGGCCAUUGCUUCUGGGGAAUCUCAAUGGAAGCAACCUUGGCAAUUACUUGGGCAGAUGUAUUUCUAGCCUCCUGUACAGAUGAACCAAGUGUUCUCAAUAGCAAGUCUUUGAUUUGAGAUUUAAUAGAAAUUUCAAUCACCAUCCAUUGUUGGACAAGAUGUUCCUUUCUCAUGGCAUCUUUUGCAUCCAAGGAGUUCUUAAGCACAAUACCAGCCAACCGACGAGAUUCAUUAGGUUUCUCAUUGUUUGCAAGUUCAACUGAUAAAGACAAAAGGAAAAGAGGCAAAUUCUGCUCUUGGAACUGCCUAAGAUUAGCCUCUGCCUCAUUUCGGACUUUUGCAUCCAGAGAUUGGGCAGACAACAGAAUUGGAGUGAUCUCCAUAGCCAUUUCUUUCAACACUUUCAGUAGGAACGUGAUAAAACCCUAUAGAAGACCAAAACCACGCCGAGAAUGAACUUAGGGCUCUCUCUCUCUCUGACUCUCCGCGCCCUCUCACUGUGCUAUCGUCGAGCAAAACGAAGAGAAGAUAAGAGAGGGAUUGAUGAUUGGAGUAUAUAGGAUUUGAAUCUGGGAGUUUUUGGGGGGUAUUAUAUAAUCUAUUUCGAAUGCAGAGAAGAAGCGGGAGGUGGGGACUUUCUUGGGAAAUUAUCG